UUGCAGAUAUGGAGAUAUGGUACCUGGAACAAUCGCAGGCAAAAUUGUUGGAGGUGUCUGCUCCUUGAGUGGUGUACUGGUGAUUGCUCUUCCUGUACCCGUCAUCGUCUCUAAC
This is a regulatory RNA element of Oryctes borbonicus, 115 nucleotides long. It matches the Rfam family "Potassium channel RNA editing signal". From Rfam's summary of the family: This family represents a group of sequences related to the human potassium channel Kv1.1 hairpin element which directs the efficient modification of an adenosine to inosine by an adenosine deaminase acting on RNA (ADAR). The ADAR modification causes an isoleucine/valine recoding event which lies in the ion-conducting pore of the potassium channel. Lineage: Eukaryota; Metazoa; Arthropoda; Insecta; Coleoptera; Scarabaeidae. The record is from Rfam.